Molecule: long non-coding RNA, 1239 nt
Filed under: Struthio camelus australis
Lineage: Eukaryota; Metazoa; Chordata; Aves; Struthioniformes; Struthionidae
Description: lncRNA (ENSSCUG00000004053.1)
Source: RNAcentral
CAAAAGCUGAGCGCUGUUUAAACCUUCUCCGCUUGUCCUUUGAGUUUCUGGAGCCUUCCAACUCUAGUGAGGUUUUCACAGCUCCAUUCCUCUGCUCAAAGUAUUUCUCUUCAUGUGAUUUAUUCCUGGCACCAUUGGCUCUUCGUGAUUACUCAGAGCCAAGGAGCCUAACAGAGUUCUGCUUCCUCCAGUGUUUCACUUCUAUCUGAUCAGAAUUGUAGAACAUGAUCCCCUGCACAAGAAAACAGCCUAUUUCUAAAGGCUUUUCUGAGAACCUCUUACAUGUAAGAUCCUGCUCAGCAUGAAAACAGGGCAUCAUUAUCUAUCAGGGAAGAAUGCCACAGACCUGCAGGCUGAGAAACGAAUGCAGAAGGGUUAUACCAGGAUGCUUUUACAUUUUGGAUGGCUGUACAGGAGUGCCUCUUGAGCUGCCUGAGGGACUGCUGGAUCAUCUUCUUUCACACAUCUCUGACAUCUCCUUCGUGCAACCUCUUCUGGUUCUGCUGAGCUACUGAGACAUAUCAGCUGCGGAUCCCUGAGCGCUGUCGAGUGGAGAGAAGCAGAAACUGGGCUGAAUCAGCAGAAAAUCCAAGAGAGUUAGGAAGUGUUUUCUGCUCCUGAAAAUACACUGAUCAAAUAUUGAUCUAGUCUGCUGAUUCAAUAGUUUUAUGUUCUCAUUUUAAGUCCUCUUUAAUUCCUGAUGCCUCUUAAUUAUUGCAGCAAUAAUUAAUAAGCUUUUCAGGAAAUGCAAAGGAAGAUCUCAUCCUCAGCUGAUGAAAAUCAUCAUAGACCAACAGAAGUCCAUAAACAGAGAGAUAUUUCCACCAAGAGAGUUUGGCCAUUAUCCUUCCUUCCCCCUACAUAACUGUCUUACUUUCUUCCCUGCUGUUUAAUAAUCUUAUUUCUCUCCUGUUAAAGUCAAAAAAGUCCUAGAUUUUUCUCCCUCCCUCAGCCUCUCUCUCUCCCUCUCCCUCUUUCUCUUUCUUUUUCUCUCCCUCUCAUGAACACCCCCUCUCACCCACCCCACAGGCUAGCUUAUAUGCUGUUCUUUAGAGACUGCGGUGAAAUCCUCUAUACACAUGUAAGAAACUGUUACUGGGUAAUUCUGCACAAAGCCACAUGACUUCGAUCUUUCUUUACUUCAGAGGAAAAAGGCUUGGCACUUGCCAACUGCAAACAUAUAUCUGGGAUAUAUGUUUUUAAAAUAUUUUAAUAGAUAUCUAUCAAAAAGAAGCUGAU